Oncorhynchus tshawytscha (Chinook salmon) is the source of this 663-nucleotide long non-coding RNA. RefSeq lists it as uncharacterized. The transcript has 2 exons. Lineage: Eukaryota; Metazoa; Chordata; Actinopteri; Salmoniformes; Salmonidae. The record is from RefSeq and is a predicted model, not a curated record.
AGAACUGUCCGAGUCUAUAUUCAAGUAAUACAAAUAAAUUACCAUCGACCACGCCCAUAAAUUGGGGGAAACAAUCAUUAUUUCCCAUUCACCACCAUCUUCGUUGUUGAUUUUACGACAAUAACAAAACAUGUUCAUUGUACAUGUAACCAGAUAAAAACUCCCGACCUGCGGAUCGCAAACAAGGAAAUAAAGCCUGUAUGCCUUCAGUCUAUUCGCCAUUGGAGAGUGGGAAAUGCAGGGAGCAGGUGUCCAAGUACAGUAGGCAACACGUAGCUAUGUGUGUGAAAAAUAUUGGAUCACAGGCUAAACCCGGACGACGCUGGGCCAAUUGUGCGCCGCCCUUUGGGACUCCCAAUCACGGCCGGAUGUGAUCCAGCCUGGAGAGACAACAACUGCAUUAACUGUCAAGUCUAGAAACGGACAGUCUACCUGCAGAGACGGAGGCAGCAAUCUUCAGCGGGUAUGAGGGAUCCGAGUUGGUCCGACAAGCUAGUACAUUUAUCUCUGAGAAAUAAUUACGAUCCCUGUUUGUAAUAAACACUGUUAUCCAUACACAGGGUUGCCAGGUCAUGUGAAAAACCUGGGCAAAAGUCCUGAAACGAGGACUAUUUUUUUUUUUCCACAUCAAGAGAUGAGUUGUAAUAAACCAUUUUCCCAUAA